AACGAACGCUGGCGGCAGGCCUAACACAUGCAAGUCGAACGCUCCAGCAAUGGAGAGUGGCAGACGGGUGAGUAACGCGUGGGAACCUUCCCUAUGGUUCGGAAUAGCUCAGGGAAACUUGAGGUAAUACCGGAUAAGCCCUUCGGGGAAGGAUUUAUCGCCAUUGGAUGGGCCCGCGUAGGAUUAGCUAGUUGGUGAGGUAACGGCUCACCAAGGCGACGAUCCUUAGCUGGUCUGAGAGGAUGAUCAGCCACACUGGGACUGAGACACGGCCCAGACUCCUACGGGAGGCAGCAGUGGGGAAUAUUGGACAAUGGGCGCAAGCCUGAUCCAGCCAUGCCGCGUGAGUGACGAAGGCCUUAGGUUGUAAAGCUCUUUUGGCGGGAAGAUAAUGACGGUACCCGCAGAAUAAGCUCCGGCUAACUUCGUGCCAGCAGCCGCAGUAAU
Molecule: ribosomal RNA, 447 nt
Filed under: uncultured bacterium
Lineage: Bacteria
Description: bacterial SSU rRNA
Rfam family: Bacterial small subunit ribosomal RNA
Source: RNAcentral